This 219-nucleotide ribosomal RNA is filed under the name Prionotus longispinosus. RNAcentral's name for it is "partial small subunit ribosomal RNA". Lineage: Eukaryota; Metazoa; Chordata; Actinopteri; Perciformes; Triglidae. The record is from RNAcentral.
GUCGGUAAAACUCGUGCCAGCCACCGCGGUUAUACGAGAGGCCCAAGCUGAUAGCCACCGGCGUAAAGCGUGGUUUAAGUAAGACAGUCUAAUAAAGCCGAAGACCCUCAGAGCAGUUAUACGCAUUAGAGAGGCAGGAAGCACAACAACGAAAGUGGCUUUAAACUUCUUGACCCCACGAGAGCUAUGGUACAAACUGGGAUUAGAUACCCCACUAUG